UGAGUUUGAUCCUGGCUCAGGAUGAACGCUAGCGGCAGGCUUAACACAUGCAAGUCGAGGGGUAGGGUAGCAAUACCUGAGACCGGCGCACGGGUGCGUAACGCGUAUGCAAUCUACCUUUUACAGAGGGAUAGCCCAGAGAAAUUUGGAUUAAUACCUCAUAGUAUAGCUGAAUCGCAUGAUUCUACUAUUAAAGUCACAACGGUAAAAGAUGAGCAUGCGUCCCAUUAGCUUGCUGGUAAGGUAACGGCUUACCAAGGCUACGAUGGGUAGGGGUCCUGAGAGGGAGAUCCCCCACACUGGUACUGAGACACGGACCAGACUCCUACGGGAGGCAGCAGUGAGGAAUAUUGGACAAUGGGCGCAAGCCUGAUCCAGCCAUGCCGCGUGCAGGAUGAAGCAUCUAUGGUGUGUAAACUGCUUUUAUACGAGAAGAAACACUCCUUCGUGAAGGAGCUUGACGGUAUCGUAAGAAUAAGGACCGGCUAACUCCGUGCCAGCAGCCGCGGUAAUACGGAGGGUCCAAGCGUUAUCCGGAAUCAUUGGGUUUAAAGGGUCCGUAGGCGGUUUGAUAAGUCAGUGGUGAAAUCUUUCGGCUCAACCGAGAAAUGGCCAUUGAUACUGUCAGACUUGAAUUAUUAGGAAGUAACUAGAAUAUGUAGUGUAGCGGUGAAAUGCUUAGAGAUUACAUGGAAUACCAAUUGCGAAGGCAGGUUACUACUAAUGGAUUGACGCUGAUGGACGAAAGCGUGGGUAGCGAACAGGAUUAGAUACCCUGGUAGUCCACGCCGUAAACGAUGGAUACUAGCUGUUGGGAGCAAUCUCAGUGGCUAAGCGAAAGUGAUAAGUAUCCCACCUGGGGAGUACGUUCGCAAGAAUGAAACUCAAAGGAAUUGACGGA
This 901-nucleotide ribosomal RNA is filed under the name uncultured bacterium. RNAcentral's name for it is "bacterial SSU rRNA". It matches the Rfam family "Bacterial small subunit ribosomal RNA", at positions 1 to 917 of the family's 1533-position model. The record is from RNAcentral.